GUCAGUGUGGUGCAGUGGUUUCAGGGUUGGACUACAAUGCUGGAGACCAGGGUUCGAAUCCCAGCUCUGCCA
Molecule: non-coding RNA, 72 nt
Organism: Phrynosoma platyrhinos (Desert horned lizard)
Lineage: Eukaryota; Metazoa; Chordata; Lepidosauria; Squamata; Phrynosomatidae
Source: the annotation of a GenBank genome assembly